UGAAUACGAGACGCUAAGGCGUCGAAGUAGUGUAUGUCAUACUUCCAAGAAAAGCUUGCACUGUCAUAGAUAAAAAACGCCUGUACCAUAACCGACACAGGUGGGUAGGUAGAGUAUACUAAGGGGCGCGAGAUAACUCUCUCUAAGGAACUCGGCAAAAUAACUCCGUAACUUCGGGAGAAGGAGUGCCUUAUUCGUAAGGUUGCAAUAACAAGAUCCAAGCAACUGUUUAUCAAAAACACAGGUCUCCGCUAAGUCGUAAGACGAUGUAUGGGGGCUGACGCCUGCCCAGUGCCAGAAGGUUAAAGAAGUUGGUUAGCAAUUGCGAAGCUGAUAACUGAAGCCCUGGUGAACGGCGGCCGUAACAAUAACGGUCCUAAGGUAGCGAAAUUCCUUGUCGGGUAAGUUCCGACCCGCACGAAAGGCGUAAUGAUUUGGAUACUGUCUCGGAGAGGGGCUCGGUGAAAUAGACUUGUCUGUGAAGAUGCGGACUACCUGCACCAGGACAGAAAGACCCUAUGAAGCUUUACUGUAACUUGAAAUUGAAAUUGGACUUUAUUCGCGCAGUAUAGGUGAGAGGCGUUGAUUAUAAUCUUGUGGGAUUAUUGGAGCCAUCAGUGAGAUACCACUCUUGUAAUGUUAGAUUUCUAACUUUGAAUCAUUAUCUGGUCAAAGAACAGUUUCAGGCGGGCAGUUUGACUGGGGCGGUCGCCUCCUAAACGGUAACGGAGGCGUACAAAGGUUUCCUCUGAACGGUUAGAAAUCGUAUCUAGAGUGUAAAGGCAUAAGGAAGCUUGACUGUGAGACCUACAAGUCGAGCAGGGACGAAAGUCGGUCUUAGUGAUCUGACGGUACUGAGUGGAAAGGCCGUCACUCAACGGAUAAAAGUUACUCUAAGGAUAACAGGCUGAUCUCCCCCAAGAGUUCACAUCGACGGGGAGGUUUGGCACCUCGAUGUCGGCUCAUCGCAUCCUGGGGCGGUAGUACGUCCCAAGGGUUGGGCUGUUCGCCCAUGAAAGCGGUACGCGAGCUGGGUUCAGAACGUCGUGAGACAGUUCGGUCCAUAUCCGGUGUAGGCGCUAGAAUAUUGAGAGGAGCCUUCUUUAGUACGAGAGGACCGAGAAGGACAUACCUCUGGUGUACCAGUUAUCGUGCCAACGGUAAACGCUGGGUAGCUAUGUAUGGAGUGGAUAACCGCUGAAAGCAUCUAAGUGGGAAGCCCACCUCAAGAUAAGUAUUCUCC
RNAcentral lists this ribosomal RNA (1243 nucleotides) under metagenome. RNAcentral's name for it is "bacterial LSU rRNA". It matches the Rfam family "Bacterial large subunit ribosomal RNA", at positions 1564 to 2816 of the family's 2925-position model. The record is from RNAcentral.